RNAcentral lists this ribosomal RNA (408 nucleotides) under uncultured bacterium. RNAcentral's name for it is "bacterial SSU rRNA". It matches the Rfam family "Bacterial small subunit ribosomal RNA", at positions 28 to 432 of the family's 1533-position model. The record is from RNAcentral.
GACGAACGCUGGCGGCGUGGAUAAGACAUGCAAGUCGAACGGGAGUUUAUUUAUAGCAAUAUGAGUGAACUCUAGUGGCGAAAGGGUGCGUAACACGUAGCUACCUACCUCGAAGUUGGGGAUAGCUCGGCGAAAGCCGGAUUAAUACCGAAUGUGAUCGUGAGAUCAAAGCUGGGGAUCGUAAGACCUGGCGCUUUGAGAUGGGGCUGCGGCCUAUCAGGUAGUUGGCGGGGUAAUGGCCCACCAAGCCUAAGACGGGUAGCUGGUCUGAGAGGACGACCAGCCACACUGGAACUGAGACACGGUCCAGACACCUACGGGUGGCAGCAGUCGAGGAUUUUUCUCAAUAGGGGAAACCCUGAAGGAGCGACGCCGCGUGAGGGAUGAAGGUCUUCGGAUUGUAAACCU